This 460-nucleotide ribosomal RNA is filed under the name uncultured bacterium. RNAcentral describes it as "partial 16S ribosomal RNA". It matches the Rfam family "Bacterial small subunit ribosomal RNA", at positions 338 to 795 of the family's 1533-position model. The record is from RNAcentral.
CCUACGGGAGGCAGCAGUGAGGAAUAUUGGUCAAUGGGCUUACGCCUGAACCAGCCAAGUCGCGUGAGGGAAGACUGCCCUAUGGGUUGUAAACCUCUUUUGUCAGGGAGCAAUUGGCGCUACGUGUAGCGUUAUCGAGAGUACCUGAGGAAAAAGCAUCGGCUAACUCCGUGCCAGCAGCCGCGGUAAUACGGAGGAUGCGAGCGUUAUCCGGAUUUAUUGGGUUUAAAGGGUGCGUAGGCGGAAUGCCAAGUCAGCGGUAAAAUCGCGGGGCUCAACCUCGCUCCGCCGUUGAAACUGGCGUUCUUGAGUGGGCGAGAAGUAUGCGGAAUGCGUGGUGUAGCGGUGAAAUGCAUAGAUAUCACGCAGAACCCCGAUUGCGAAGGCAGCCUGCCAAGCCAUGACUGACGCUGAUGCACGAAAGCGUGGGGAUCAAACAGGAUUAGAUACCCCAGUAGUC